Xyrauchen texanus (razorback sucker) is the source of this 1727-nucleotide long non-coding RNA. RefSeq lists it as uncharacterized. NCBI's taxonomy places the organism in Eukaryota, Metazoa, Chordata, Actinopteri, Cypriniformes, Catostomidae. The record is from RefSeq and is a predicted model, not a curated record. The transcript has 3 exons.
GAAAACCUAAAAAAAGGAGGACAGACUGCAAAAAAAAAAAAAAGUGAUGACAGGAAUGAAGGGAAACUAGAGACCCAGCAGACCACAUUCAAGGUAUUCAAACUAAACCAAAACAGUUCACCCCACCAGAUGUAGGGAAGCGGAGACGCUCAAGAAUAACUGGAAUGUGUGGAGGAGGUUAAAGGGCCGAAAACUGUUCACGUGCAGCAGACUUUAAAAGAACAGAGAGGGUAUUAAAAAGAGACAUUAUUCAAUGACAAAUGGGUCGAGUGGAUCUCGUCUUUGGAAACACGUUACAUGGAACAACUUUCUCUCAACACUGUGAAAGGAUCUCGCUGAAUACUCCACCGCUAUACUACACAAUCACUGGGCAAGAAAGUAGCUAAUUCAGGCCAUGGAGCCAGAGAGCAGCAAUCUCAGAUCGGUUUAGAGGGUAACCAUGAGCAGUCCAAUGCCAGGAAAGGAAGUGACAUGGUCAGGACAAGCAUCGGAGCAUCUUAUCAGGAUGACUGGAAGAGCCAGACAAAGCGCCUGCGGCAUGUCUGUUUCAAUCAGAAACACCUCUUUCACAUCACGAGCGGAAGGAAGACAAAGACGUGAUGUGAGCCGCAGAGUUCUGUGGGGUUAGACAUUGUGGAUGUGCCAAAGUACAUAUUUUCAAAAUCGACUAGUUGGUGGAUUGCCUGAAUGUUUAAUUAACUAAAUGGUAUUGAGAAAGACUUGUACAAUUAGGCUGGUUCACCUGAACCUGAUCGGACAUGUUCGUUAAGGGGGGGCUCGCACACAUGACAUGGACAGACGGGUGUCCUAAAAUUCAAAAGCAGUGUUGAAUGUGCAUAGAAAAUGUUUGCCACUCAAUUCUCAAUUACAUUUAAUUCAACCCAAUAUGUUAGCAAGGGUCAUACAUUACUUUGGACCAGUAAUGUAGUCUAGGGCAUACGCUGUAUACCCACCUAUCUUUCUUAGGAUUUUGCGUAUGCACACUUGAAAUAAUUGAUGAUACGCAUGGCUUCCAGAACAACGAGAAGCCUUUAGACCCGGAACUUUUUUAAUCUACUACCGUGAUGCCGCCAGCACCAUUGAGUGAAUUGUGUGCAUAUAUACACAUAUAUAUACACACACUCAAAACGGUUUUAAAAGCAUCCCAGGGUGAUAAAUAAAGAAGAAAACUUCGAGAACAUGUCUAAUAUGACUACUUUGAAGAUGCUAAAAUAUAACAGUUUUGAUUUAUUUUGGAUUUUGUUUAGUCAUCAUAAUUCCCAUUCAUGUUCUUCCAUAGUUUUGAUUACUAUUAUUCUAAAAUGUGAAAACAUAAUAAUAAUAAUAAUAAUAAAGAAUGAGUAAGUGUUUCAAAACAUUGUGUGUGUGUGUGUGUGUGUGUACACAUUUAGCAUUUUAGAAAGUGUCAUCUUUUUGCACAUGUUUGCACGUGCACUUAAUGUAGAAAUGUUAUUUAGUUUGUGUAGUCUCAUGUGGUUCUGUGUUUGUCCUAUGUUGUUUUAUGUAGCACCAUGGUCCUGGAGGAACGUUGUCUCGUUUUGCUGUGUACUGUACUAACUGUAUAUGAUUGAACAACAAUAAAAACCACUUGACUUGUGUGUGUGUGUGUGUGAGAAUGAUGAAAAACUGCAUGCUAUUGCACCCCUGCUUUUUUUUUGCUGUCUGUGGUGCCUUUUUCUUGUGAUAUCAAAUCAUUUCAAUGUACAUUUGUAAAUAUGAAAAUAAUU